AGUGAACGCUGGCGGUAGGCCUAACACAUGCAAGUCGAACGGCAGCACAGUAAGAGCUUGCUCUUACGGGUGGCGAGUGGCGGACGGGAGAGGAAUACAUCGGAAUCUACUUUUUCGUGGGGGAUAACGUAGGGAAACUUACGCUAAUACCGCAUACGACCUACGGGUGAAAGCAGGGGAUCUUCGGACCUUGCGCGAUUGAAUGAGCCGAUGUCGGAUUAGCUAGUUGGCGGGGUAAAGGCCCACCAAGGCGACGAUCCGUAGCUGGUCUGAGAGGAUGAUCACCCACACUGGAGCUGAGACACGGUCCAGACUCCUACGGGAGGCAGCAGUGUGGAAUAUUGGACAAUGGUCGCGAGCCUGAUCCAGCCAUCCCGCGUGUGUGAAGAAGGCCUUCGGGUUGUAAAGCCCUUUUGUUGGUAAAGAAAAGCAGCAGGUUAAUACCCCGCUGUUCUGACGGUACCCAAAGAAUAAGCACCGGCUAACUUCGUG
Molecule: ribosomal RNA, 492 nt
Filed under: uncultured bacterium
Lineage: Bacteria
Description: partial 16S ribosomal RNA
Rfam family: Bacterial small subunit ribosomal RNA
Source: RNAcentral